RNAcentral lists this ribosomal RNA (253 nucleotides) under uncultured bacterium. RNAcentral describes it as "partial 16S ribosomal RNA". It matches the Rfam family "Bacterial small subunit ribosomal RNA", at positions 524 to 776 of the family's 1533-position model. The record is from RNAcentral.
GACGGGGGAUGCAAGCGGUAUCCGGAAUCACUGGGCGUAAAGCGUCUGUAGGUGGUGAUGCAAGUCACUGGUGCAAAACUCUGGCUCAACCGGAGGAAAGCCAGUGAAACUGCAUGACUAGAGUGUGGGAGAGGUAGAAGGAAUUCCCUGAGUAGCGGUGAAAUGCGUAGAUACAGGGAAGAACACCGGAGGCGAAAGCGUUCUACUGGAACACAACUGACACUGAGAGACGAAGGCUAGGGGAGCGAAGGGG